UUGGAGCAUUGCAGUUAAUUAAUUGGUUCAUGUGAUAAUUUUGUAUCCUCAUAUUUUCAUCGGGGAUGUCGAUUUGAGCGCCACCUUAAAUUUGCACUGGUUUGUGUAUAACUAGAAAAUAAAUAAAAUACUCAUACGUCAAAUGACAAUUGUUCCUUUAUUGAAAUUACGUUUAUAAAAAUUUAAUUAUGUUUCAAAAUUAUCAAACAAGAAUAUUUUUUUAAUACAGUGUUGAGGUUGAUAAAACGUAAUUAUUUUAACGGAUAUUCUAUAGAAAUAAAAAGGAAUAAGAAAAUUAUUGGGAGUGAUUAAAUAAUAGUGUUGUCAAAUUACAAAUUUAUUAUUUAGUAAACACUUGUACUGAUGUAAAAACCAUCUGUUAAAAUACAUUGAGGUAAUAAAAGGAAUGGUGAUUAUAUUAUUUUGGAGGUUAAGUUUUCAAAAAUAAAUUGAGAACAAAAAAUGCUAAUACAAAAUACACAAUAAUAUGGCUACAAUAUCGAUUUUACCUCCUGGAGGAGUUUUUCAUCGUGCUUUAAUUUUCAUGUUAAAGUUAGGAUGGAAAUCCAGAUUACGAUUACCAGUUCUUAUGGUAGCUGCAUUCGUUGUGAUGGAUGUGAGAAUGCAACUAGAGAUUGAUGUUCAUGUUAAUGUCGAUAAUCCAGAGAAUUAAUAUUUUAUCGUUAUAAACUAAUUUUAUUAUUUUUUGAUAAUCAUCAUAUAGAAAUAAUGAUCAAUAUCAUAAUUCACAAAUUAAAUAAUUGGUUCUGUUUUGGUAUUUUUUCGACUAUAUAUCAGAUUGUCGAGCCAGUUGAGUAAAUAAUAUACAAGUAUUACAAUAGGUAAUGAUUAAAAAUUUUUGAAGAGUUCAUUAAUCAUGUUACAAAAUCAAUGAAGCCUUGUUUUUUAAUUGAAAGAACCAUAAGGCUUCUACUUAAGUAUAUAAGGAUCAUACAUUCGACUUGUAUCUUGAUCUAACGAGAAGUUGUUGAAUUGAAACGAUUUUUUGAUUGUUCAAUAUUAAUUGAGAUGUUUCUUGUAUUUAAAACUUUAUUGAUAAGUUUUUGGUUUGUUGUCUGUUUAUCAAGUAAUGUUAUAAGUACAAAACAUUCUAAAACAGAUGAUAAUUUAAUUUUUCUACCGGGUGAAUCUAUUCGAAAAGAAUUGCCUGGCAUUCAGGAUUCAAAUGCUGAAAUAUCUUGUUUUAUUGAUUACUAUGAG
Long non-coding RNA from Chelonus insularis, 1221 nucleotides. RefSeq lists it as uncharacterized. Lineage: Eukaryota; Metazoa; Arthropoda; Insecta; Hymenoptera; Braconidae. The transcript has 5 exons. The record is from RefSeq and is a predicted model, not a curated record.